GAUAAACGCUGGCGGCGUGCCUAACACAUGCAAGUCGAACGAUCCCGCAAGGGAGAGUGGCGGAAGGGUGAGUAACACGUGGAAUCUACCUCCUCGCAGGGAACAACCUCUCGAAAGAGAGGCUAAUACCCAAAGGGUCAGAAAUGAUCAGAGUCGAAAGGCGUGAGGAGAGGAGCCCGCGGCCCAUCAGCUAGUUGGUGAGGUAAUGGCUUACCAAGGCUACGACGGGUAGGGGAUCUGAGAGGAUGUCCCCCACACUGGAACUGAAACACGGUCCAGACGCCUACGGGUGGCAGCGGUGAGGAAUAUUGGACAAUGGGCGAAAGCCCGAUCCAGCAACGCCGCGUGGAGGAUGAAGGCCUUCGGGUCGUAAACUUCUUUAGAGGGAGACGAGAAAGGACGGUAUCCCUAGAAUAAGCGACGGCAAACUACGUGCCAGCAGCCGCGGUAAU
Molecule: ribosomal RNA, 452 nt
Filed under: uncultured bacterium
Lineage: Bacteria
Description: bacterial SSU rRNA
Rfam family: Bacterial small subunit ribosomal RNA
Source: RNAcentral